UCUAUGGAGAGUUUGAUCCUGGCUCAGGACGAACGCUGGCGGCGUGCUUAACACAUGCAAGUCGAGCGAGGCUCCUCCUUCGGGAGGAUGCCCUAGCGGCGAACGGGUGAGUAACACGUGGGCAACCUGCCCCUAGCACUGGGAUAACCCCGGGAAACCGGAGCUAAUACCGGAUACGACCACAGUUGGCAUCAACAUGUGGUGGAAAGAUUCAUCGGCUAGGGAUGGGCCCGCGGCCUAUCAGCUUGUUGGUGGGGUAGUGGCCCACCAAGGCGACGACGGGUAGCCGGCCUGAGAGGGCGACCGGCCACACUGGGACUGAGACACGGCCCAGACUCCUACGGGAGGCAGCAGUGGGGAAUAUUGC
This 367-nucleotide ribosomal RNA is filed under the name Actinomycetota bacterium. RNAcentral describes it as "bacterial SSU rRNA". It matches the Rfam family "Bacterial small subunit ribosomal RNA", at positions 1 to 367 of the family's 1533-position model. The record is from RNAcentral. Lineage: Bacteria; Bacillati; Actinomycetota.